Molecule: ribosomal RNA, 388 nt
Filed under: uncultured bacterium
Lineage: Bacteria
Description: bacterial SSU rRNA
Rfam family: Bacterial small subunit ribosomal RNA
Source: RNAcentral
AAGAGAACUUACCUACUCUUGACAUCCAGAGAAUUUAGCAGAGAUGCUUUGGUGCCUUCGGGAACUGUGAGACAGGUGCUGCAUGGCUGUCGUCAGCUCGUGUUGUGAAAUGUUGGGUUAAGUCCCGCAACGAGCGCAACCCUUAUCCUUUGUUGCCAGCGAUUCGGUCGGGAACUCAAAGGAGACUGCCAGUGAUAAACUGGAGGAAGGUGGGGAUGACGUCAAGUCAUCAUGGCCCUUACGAGUAGGGCUACACACGUGCUACAAUGGCAUAUACAAAGAGAAGCGACCUCGCGAGAGCAAGCGGACCUCAUAAAGUAUGUCGUAGUCCGGAUUGGAGUCUGCAACUCGACUCCAUGAAGUCGGAAUCGCUAGUAAUCGGGAUCAG